CAGCGGUUUAGUUCAGGACCAGCCAGUUGUUGUUUCUAUGUACAGAGCCGCGUUAUCACCGAAACAAUUAUAAUCAAGAAACUUUCUGGUCUGGAUUUCCUCCUCCCCUAAUGGUCGGGGACUUUCAGCGGACCCGUGAAGACAGGCUUUACAGCGUCUUGGCAGGCUGGGAGAGAAGCCCGGUGGAUCUGCCAGCGUCUCUCUUUCCUCCUGUUCCUUCUCAGCUGUUGUUCUGGGCCAGGAUUCUGUAAAGCUGGGAUGAUGGCAGAACAGGCCAGAAUAUUUCUCCCACGCUGAGAGGAAGGGGAGAAGCAGUAGAAAGAAGAGGAACA
Lampris incognitus (smalleye Pacific opah) is the source of this 332-nucleotide long non-coding RNA. RefSeq lists it as uncharacterized. NCBI's taxonomy places the organism in Eukaryota, Metazoa, Chordata, Actinopteri, Lampriformes, Lampridae. The transcript has 3 exons. The record is from RefSeq and is a predicted model, not a curated record.